This 253-nucleotide ribosomal RNA is filed under the name uncultured bacterium. RNAcentral describes it as "partial 16S ribosomal RNA". It matches the Rfam family "Bacterial small subunit ribosomal RNA", at positions 524 to 776 of the family's 1533-position model. The record is from RNAcentral.
UACGAAGGGGACUAGCGUUGUUCGGAAUUACUGGGCGUAAAGCGCACGUAGGCGGAUUGCUAAGUCAGGGGUGAAAUCCCGGGGCUCAACCUCGGAACUGCCUUUGAUACUGACAAUCUCGAGUCCGAUAGAGGUGGGUGGAAUUCCUAGUGUAGAGGUGAAAUUCGUAGAUAUUAGGAAGAACACCGGUGGCGAAGGCGGCCCACUGGAUCGGUACUGACGCUGAGACGCGAAAGCGUGGGGAGCGAACAGG